This 443-nucleotide ribosomal RNA is filed under the name Staphylococcus aureus. Its description in RNAcentral is "partial 23S ribosomal RNA". It matches the Rfam family "Bacterial large subunit ribosomal RNA", at positions 269 to 711 of the family's 2925-position model. Lineage: Bacteria; Bacillati; Bacillota; Bacilli; Caryophanales; Staphylococcaceae. The record is from RNAcentral.
CCAAACCAACAAGCUUGCUUGUUGGGGUUGUAGGACACUCUAUACGGAGUUACAAAGGACGACAUUAGACGAAUCAUCUGGAAAGAUGAAUCAAAGAAGGUAAUAAUCCUGUAGUCGAAAAUGUUGUCUCUCUUGAGUGGAUCCUGAGUACGACGGAGCACGUGAAAUUCCGUCGGAAUCUGGGAGGACCAUCUCCUAAGGCUAAAUACUCUCUAGUGACCGAUAGUGAACCAGUACCGUGAGGGAAAGGUGAAAAGCACCCCGGAAGGGGAGUGAAAUAGAACCUGAAACCGUGUGCUUACAAGUAGUCAGAGCCCGUUAAUGGGUGAUGGCGUGCCUUUUGUAGAAUGAACCGGCGAGUUACGAUUUGAUGCAAGGUUAAGCAGUAAAUGUGGAGCCGUAGCGAAAGCGAGUCUGAAUAGGGCGUUUAGUAUUUGGUCGUA